GCCAGCGGCCAUUACACGUUGUACGAAUCAGUUCCCAGUGGAUCACUGAAGUUAAGCAACGUUGUGCGCAGUUAGUUUCGGAUGGGUGACUAUCGUACAUGUUUGUACUUAAGGAG
RNAcentral lists this ribosomal RNA (116 nucleotides) under Diaphorina citri (Asian citrus psyllid). The record is from RNAcentral. Lineage: Eukaryota; Metazoa; Arthropoda; Insecta; Hemiptera; Psyllidae.